Molecule: long non-coding RNA, 340 nt
Organism: Schistocerca cancellata (South American locust)
Lineage: Eukaryota; Metazoa; Arthropoda; Insecta; Orthoptera; Acrididae
Exons: 3
Source: RefSeq, a predicted model, not a curated record
CCAGAAUUGGCAGUCAUGUGUGCAUGAGGUGUGCUUGCUUGUGUGAAUGAAUGGCAUGUCCGUCUCGUUUUCUGACGAAGACUGUGGCUGAAAGAUUACGUUGUAACCACGGGAAACACAACAAACCAUGCUGUGACCAUCAAAACCAUAAAACAAUCUUUACCUGCUUCACAGUUGGAAGCAGACAGUCUGGAUGGUAUGCUACUACUCAUGUUUUCAAAAUUAAACGGGGAAGAAAACUGCUGAUGCAUCACCUAUGAAAGCCAAAAAUAAGUUCUGAAAAUGGUGUGUCUGUAUGAUUUUGUCCAGUCCACAUAUGUCACUGCCGUAAGUAACUACA